UACGGGGGGAGCAAGCGUUGUUCGGAUUUACUGGGCGUAAAGGGCGCGUAGGCGGUCGUGACAAGUCACUUGUGAAAUCUCCGGGCUUAACUCGGAACGGUCAAGUGAUACUGUCGGACUAGAGUACAGAAGGGGCAACUGGAAUUCUCGGUGUAGCAGUGAAAUGCGUAGAUAUCGUAAGGAAGACCAGUGGCGAAGGCGAGUCUCUGGACAGCAACUGACGCUGAGGCACGAAGGCCAGGGGAGCAAACGGG
RNAcentral lists this ribosomal RNA (254 nucleotides) under uncultured bacterium. RNAcentral describes it as "partial 16S ribosomal RNA". It matches the Rfam family "Bacterial small subunit ribosomal RNA", at positions 524 to 776 of the family's 1533-position model. The record is from RNAcentral.